RNAcentral lists this long non-coding RNA (468 nucleotides) under Ananas comosus (pineapple). Its description in RNAcentral is "long non-coding RNA (ACOM_LNC032266)". The record is from RNAcentral. Lineage: Eukaryota; Viridiplantae; Streptophyta; Magnoliopsida; Poales; Bromeliaceae.
UAUUGAGAAUUAGUUCAUAUCUUUAGAUUUUUUUUCAAUUAUUUCUUUUUUUGGGUUAAUUUCAUGUAUGUUUCUGCAAAUAUAAUGAAUGAAAAAUAUAUUCCUAUAAAAUUCAACUUUCAUAUAUUGUUCCUACAAAAGUCAUAAUGUUUUCAAAUAUUUUCAUAUGAUUUGUUAUCAUUAAAAAAUCGUAUAUAUUUUUAAUUUUGUCAUCAUAAAUAUAUCCCUCCAAAAAUCAUUAUAAUAUAACAUAAAGGAAUAAAAAUAUAAAAAACUAACUAUGAUUAAAUAUUUAACCUAUGGUUAACUAACAUUUUUUAACGAAUUCUAACGGGAGGAACAUAUUUGAAAACAUAAGAACUUCUACAGAAACAAAAUAAAAAAGUUGAACUUUAUAAGGAUUUAUUUGCUAUUUACUAUAUUUGUACGGACAUGUAUGAAAUUAAUCCUAUUUUUAAUAGUAGAGGA